CUCCUCUCAAGGUUAUACCUGGAGAGUUUCUACUACUCUACCAGUCUCAACUACAGGAGGGAGAGUCAAGCAAAGGCCAACCCAUUCCAUUCCUAGCUUGGGCCGUGGCUAGUGAAUGGCAGGCAAUCUGCUACAAGU
Tachyglossus aculeatus (Australian echidna) is the source of this 138-nucleotide small nucleolar RNA. Lineage: Eukaryota; Metazoa; Chordata; Mammalia; Monotremata; Tachyglossidae. The record is from RefSeq and is a predicted model, not a curated record.